Small nucleolar RNA from Astatotilapia calliptera (eastern happy), 92 nucleotides. Ensembl annotates it as small nucleolar SNORD12/SNORD106. The record is from Ensembl. Lineage: Eukaryota; Metazoa; Chordata; Actinopteri; Cichliformes; Cichlidae.
AAUGUGGUUAAUGAUGCUGAACUUUUUUCCCCAUCUUAUCGACCAUGGUGAUUACUGACUGAAACUAAGCCAGUUUUGUCUGAAACCACAUU